Molecule: long non-coding RNA, 1116 nt
Filed under: Felis catus (domestic cat)
Lineage: Eukaryota; Metazoa; Chordata; Mammalia; Carnivora; Felidae
Description: lncRNA (ENSFCAG00000047237.1)
Source: RNAcentral
CUUCUGAAAACUCACUUCAUCAUAAGAGGCUCCAGGUGUCAUGGUUAGUGCUGACUCACUCCAUGCACAAGAAUACCCACCAUGGGUGGAUGCCUCCUCCCGCUAUUUUAAGUGAUGAGCCUGAAACAGAGCACAGCCAGCAGAUGAGGAGGUGAGUUUCCGAUAGCAGGUCUUAGGUACUAUAUAUGCUCAAUAUACAUUUGAAUGAAAAGUACCAAAGACAACUCUUGAUUUCAGCUCACGUCACGAUCUUGUGGUUUGUGGGUUCAAGCCCCACAUCGGGCUCUGCACUGACAGCACAGAACCUGCUUGAGAUUCUCUCUCUCUCUCUCUCUCUCUGCCCCUCCCCUGCUCUCUCUCUCUAAAUAAAUAAACUUUUUUUUUAAAAAGGAAAGUACCAAAGACAAAAGGGGAAGAAAUGGUUAUGCAAAACUAGACCUCCUGAGAUUUUUGUUAGUCUUUCUUGAAAGAGGCUGGAAAGAGGAUUUCACCGAGUCUGGAGAGAUACCUCUGAUGGCAUCUUACGUGAUGGCCUUUCUCCACAGUAUUUCAUGUGAUACUGGGGAAUCACAGAGGGCUUUACUCUCUAUUAAUCAUAGUAUGUCUGGGAGGAUCUGGAAAAUGUUUAACGCUCUUUUCACUGUUAAAUCACAAAUUUUCAUGAAGAUAAAAGGGUAUUUCACUUCUUACAGAGACGGAUUUGUUUUAAAAUAAAAAGUCAGGUUUUUUUUUUUUGUAAGAAAAAGAAAAGUCAAAUAACACAGAAGAGAACAAGGAUCGGCCAAGAGCUCAUACUCUGACAAACUAUGGCAAUUGCUUUUGAGGACGCUUCUCGAUGCAUAUUUACAACAUAGAUGCGGGAUUCCCCUUAACCUGAUGGGGCUCAUAUUCCACAUUUUAUUUUAUUUUUUUUGUUUUAAUUUUUGAGAUAGGGAGAGAGAGACAGAGCUUGAGCAGGGGAGGGGCAGAGAGAGAGGGAGACACAGAAUCUGAAACAGGCUCCAGGCUCUGAGCUGUCAGCACAGAGCCCGACGUGGGGCUCGAACUCACGAACCGUGAGAUCAUGACCUGAGCCGAAGUGGGACGCUUAACUGACGGAGCCACCCAGGAGCCCCC